Otolemur garnettii (small-eared galago) is the source of this 1096-nucleotide RNA transcript. It is a transcript of the gene named non-histone chromosomal protein HMG-14 pseudogene, with no coding region annotated. The record is from RefSeq and is a predicted model, not a curated record. Lineage: Eukaryota; Metazoa; Chordata; Mammalia; Primates; Galagidae. The transcript has a single exon.
AUGCCAAAGAGUAAGGUCAGCUCUGCCGAAGGUGCAGGGAAGGAAGAGCCCAAGAGGAGGUCGGUGCGGUUGUCAGCUAAACCUGCUCCUGCGAAAGUGGAAACAAAGCCAAAAAAGGCAGCAGCAAGGGAUAAAUCUUCAGAGUAAAAAGUGCAACCAAAAGGGAAAAGAGGAACAAAGGGAAAGCAGGCCGAAGUGGCCAACCAAGAAACUAAAGAAGAUUUACCAGCAGAAAAUGGAGAAACUAAAACCGAGGAGAAUCCAGCCACUGACGAAGCAGGAGAGAAAGAAGCCAAGUCUGAUUAGUGUCAUAUACCAUGUCUUAUCAGUGGUCCCUGUCUCCCUUCUUGUACAAUCCAGAGGAAUAUUUUUAUCAACUAUUUUGUAAAUGCAAGUUUUUUAGUAGCUCUAGAAACAUUUUUAAGAAGGAGGGAAUCCCACCUCAUCUCUCAUUUUUUAAGUGUAAAUGCUUUUUUUUAAGAGGUGAAAUCAUUUGCUGGUUGUUUAUUUUUUGGUACAACCAGAAAAUAGUGUGGGAUGUUGAUUUAAUGGGAGGCUUUGACUGUCUUGGGUGUGAGCUUAGCAUUCCAUAGAUGGGGGUUAGUUUUUAUAUCCUGUAAUACAAAGCAUACUAAAUGGCAAUAUGGAGUCCAGUCCUGCAUUUAAUGUUUGAACAUUUUAAAUUACUUCUAUUCCCGUGUUGUUUUAUAGUAGAAUUUUUUCCUAAAGAAAACACUCCUGUGAUCAUGGCUCUUAAUGUCAGAACUGUGUACCCUCUGUAACAUCUUUGGUUGUGGUGCUCCUGUUUUCCUAAUAACUUUGUUACCGUGCUGUGAAGGACUGAAAAUCUAAGCAUGUAGCAUAUAUGGUAAUAAAGUGUGACUUGGUGGGACUUACCUAACAGCUUAUCAACAUUUGAAGAUAAGGUAGCUGGUAUCCUCUUAAGGAAAAUUUGCCUCCAAAUUUUAAUCUGGAAAGUCACUGGAAUAACUUUAAAAAAGAAUUAAAAUGGCUUUUUAGAUUUUGGGUACGUAUGUUAAGAAUUGUGUACAAAUUGAAGUGUCUGUACUGAUGCUCAACACAACCAAUAAAAUCU